AGGACGAACGCUGGCGGCGUGCUUAACACAUGCAAGUCGAGCGGAAAGGCCCUUCGGGGUACUCGAGCGGCGAACGGGUGAGUAACACGUGAGUAAUCUGCCCCUAGCUCUGGGAUAGCUCCGGGAAAACCGGGAUUAAUACCGGAUACGGACCACUUUAGACAUCUGUUGUGGUGGAAAGAAUUUUGGCUAGGGAUGAGCUCGCGGCCUAUCAGCUUGUUGGUGGGGUAACGGCCUACCAAGGCGACGACGGGUAGCCGGCCUGAGAGGGCGACCGGCCACACUGGGACUGAGACACGGCCCAGACUCCUACGGGAGGCAGCAGUGGGGAAUAUUGCGCAAUGGGCGAAAGCCUGACGCAGCGACGCCGCGUGGGGGAUGAAGGCCUUCGGGUUGUAAACCCCUUUCAGCAGGGACGAAGCGAAAGUGACGGUACCUGCAGAAGAAGCGCCGGCUAACUACGCGCCAGCAGCCGC
Molecule: ribosomal RNA, 476 nt
Filed under: uncultured bacterium
Lineage: Bacteria
Description: SSU rRNA
Rfam family: Bacterial small subunit ribosomal RNA
Source: RNAcentral